This 285-nucleotide ribosomal RNA is filed under the name uncultured Campylobacterota bacterium. RNAcentral's name for it is "uncultured Epsilonproteobacteria bacterium partial 16S ribosomal RNA". It matches the Rfam family "Bacterial small subunit ribosomal RNA", at positions 372 to 674 of the family's 1533-position model. Lineage: Bacteria; Pseudomonadati; Campylobacterota. The record is from RNAcentral.
UGGAGGAAACUCUGAUGCAGCAACGCCGCGUGGAGGAUGACGCAUUUCGGUGUGUAAACUCCUUUUAUAUGGGAAGAUAAUGACGGUACCAUAUGAAUAAGCACCGGCUAACUCCGUGCCAGCAGCCGCGGUAAUACGGAGGGUGCAAGCGUUACUCGGAAUCACUGGGCGUAAAGCGCGCGCAGGCGGCCUUUUAAGUUGGAUGUGAAAGCCUAUGGCUCAACCGUAGAACUGCAUCCAAAACUAUUUGGCUAGAGUGUGGGAGAGGAAGAUGGAAUUAGUUGU